CACGGAGUUAGCCGGUGCUUAUUCGUAUAGUACCUUCAGCUAGAUACACGUAUCUAGGUUUAUCCCUAUACAAAAGAAGUUUACAACCCAUAGGGCCGUCGUCCUUCACGCGGGAUGGCUGGAUCAGGCUCUCACCCAUUGUCCAAUAUUCCUCACUGCUGCCUCCCGUAGGAGUCUGGUCCGUGUCUCAGUACCAGUGUGGGGGAUCACCCUCUCAGGCCCCCUAAAGAUCACUGACUUGGUAGGCCGUUACCCUACCAACUAUCUAAUCUUGCGCGUGCCCAUCUCUAUCCACCGGAGUUUUCAAUAUCAAAUGAUGCCAUUCAAUAUAUUAUGGGUAUUAAUCUUCCUUUCGAAAGGCUAUCCCCCUGAUAAAGGCAGGUUGCACACGUGUUCCGCACCCGUACGCCGCUCUCUCAUUUCCGAAGAAACAAUACCGCUCGGCUUGCAUGUGUUAGGCCUCCCGCUAGCGUUCAUCCUGAGCCAGGAUCAAAACUC
RNAcentral lists this ribosomal RNA (498 nucleotides) under uncultured Chryseobacterium sp. RNAcentral's name for it is "partial 16S ribosomal RNA". Lineage: Bacteria; Pseudomonadati; Bacteroidota; Flavobacteriia; Flavobacteriales; Weeksellaceae. The record is from RNAcentral.